UGGGGAAUAUUGCACAAUGGGCGAAAGCCUGAUGCAGCGACGCCGCGUGAGGGAUGACGGCCUUCGGGUUGUAAACCUCUUUCAGUAGGGACGAAGCGCAAGUGACGGUACCUGCAGAAGAAGCACCGGCUAACUACGUGCCAGCAGCCGCGGUAAUACGUAGGGUGCGAGCGUUGUCCGGAAUUACUGGGCGUAAAGAGCUCGUAGGCGGUUUGUCACGUCGUCUGUGAAAUCCUAGGGCUUAACCCUGGACGUGCAGGCGAUACGGGCUGACUUGAGUACUACAGGGGAGACUGGAAUUUCUGGUGUAGCGGUGGAAUGCACAGAUAACAGGAAGAACACCGAUGGCGAAGGCAGGUCUCUGGGUAGUAACUGACGCUGAGGAGCGAAAGCAUGGGUAGCGAACAGG
This 409-nucleotide ribosomal RNA is filed under the name bacterium. RNAcentral describes it as "partial 16S ribosomal RNA". It matches the Rfam family "Bacterial small subunit ribosomal RNA", at positions 355 to 776 of the family's 1533-position model. The record is from RNAcentral.